AACUGGGAUCAGCUAUGAGACCCUGGGGCCGGAGGAGCUUCGCAGCCUGCUAACCACGCAAUGUGGGGUGAUUUCUGAACACACCAAGAAGAUGUGCACAAGGUGAGCACAGAACCUAGAAAGGGGGCCAGGUGCUUCCUGCGCACUCACCAUGGGCAUGGGUCGGGAGUACCCCUGGACUUGAGCAAUGGGGCUCCUGCCCUUCCCCUUCCCUCCUGUAAUGAUUAGGCCUUUGGCCACAAUCUGGGGACGAAUCUGCAUUCACCCCUUCCCUGUCUGUGCCCGUGGCUCCUGCCUUGCCGAGGGGAGGGGCUUUACCUGAGUUCCUCAGAUCCCUCCCUGCCUUACCUCACCACCAGGUCCCUGCGCUGCCCACAGCACACAGAUGAGCAGAGGCGAACCGUACGGAUUUAUUUUCUCGGGCCCUCGGCGUAAGUGGCCCUACAGGAAGGGUGGGGGGUUGUGACCAGUUAGGGUGAUGAUCACUAUCUCUAAAGCCCUUCUUUGGCUCAUCCCCUUUUCAGCGUCCUUCCAGAGGUCGA
This 542-nucleotide small RNA is filed under the name Pongo abelii (Sumatran orangutan). RNAcentral's name for it is "retained intron". The record is from RNAcentral. Lineage: Eukaryota; Metazoa; Chordata; Mammalia; Primates; Hominidae.